AAUACACCUGCGGACACGGGAGGAGGAGGAACCAGGCUAUCGGAGAAGUUACCGCAGGCUGAAGGUGCCAUCCCUCGAGCAAACGCGCGAAGCAUCGCGGCAGAAGGCACGGGAGAGCAGCCGCCGGGCCGAACGCAGCCUGUAUGCAGGCGGCCCCGGGGGGCAGGCGGCAGCCCGGGGCCCCUCCUUCCCCCUUCCCCGGGCCGGGGCGGGCGGCGCCGGCGGCCCAGUGCCGCGGCGAGGCCGCAACGCUGUGCUGGGGCGGGCCGGGGCGGGCCCUGCGGCCCGGCACUGCAUGGGAGGAGNNNNNNNNNNNNNNNNNNNNCCCCCGCCCCGGCCGGAGGAAGAUGGAGCUGGGUUAGUGAGGGCUUGCGGGAGGAGCAGCGGCGGCAGGUAAGGGCUGCUUCUCCCUCCUCGUCCUCCUCGUCCUCCUCCUCCGCUCCCCGGUGCCGUGCAGCGGCAGGUGGCCCAGGUGUGCCCGGCCCGGCCCGGCCCGGCCCGGCCCGCAGCGCUGCCCUUGCCCGCGGGCUGCCCUUGCCUCGCCCCGGCCGCAGGAGAUCCCGCUGCGUGCCCUCGGCCGUGCCGCUAAGGGCAAAGCCGGGCGCUGGGGCCCCCUCCCCGUGCCGCUGGGGCGGGGAGGUGGGCAGGUUUGCCGCCCCUGCCCCCGCCCCGGCCCCCCCAGCUCGCCGCUCAGCUCCGGGAAGGGUUUCUGCAUUGCAGGCUCUCGCCCCGGCUCCGCUUCUGCAUUCGCGGCUUUAUCUCAGCACAGGAGCCCGCGCCCUGGCCGGCUGGGCCGGUCCUGCUCGGGCAGGAGGCCGCUUUGGGCAGGUGGCAUCGCCUCCUGUGCCUCCCCAGCCCUGUCAGGGCUUUUGGGGUAUCGGCCUCCGGCAGGGAGGUGUUAGAUGCACGAAUGGUAUGUGUUCUGCCUCUGAAAGGUACAGCUACGGAGGGGAAGCUGUCAGGAUCUGGGCGAAUAACGGUCAUUCGGAGUUUGCGGGGUGUGACACGGUGCAGUGA
Molecule: long non-coding RNA, 1017 nt
Filed under: Anser cygnoides (Swan goose)
Lineage: Eukaryota; Metazoa; Chordata; Aves; Anseriformes; Anatidae
Description: lncRNA (ENSACDG00005005925.1)
Source: RNAcentral